RNAcentral lists this unclassified non-coding RNA (307 nucleotides) under uncultured fungus. Its description in RNAcentral is "partial contains small subunit ribosomal RNA, internal transcribed spacer 1, and 5.8S ribosomal RNA". The stretch from base 1 to 73 matches the Rfam family "Eukaryotic small subunit ribosomal RNA", at positions 1759 to 1831 of the family's 1831-position model. Lineage: Eukaryota; Fungi. The record is from RNAcentral.
GCAAACUUGGUCAUUUAGAGGAAGUAAAAGUCGUAACAAGGUUUCCGUAGGUGAACCUGCGGAAGGAUCAUUAAAAGUGCGGGCGAUUUAUGUCCGAACCAACACUUUACAUCCCGUGAACCGUCCCCGUUUGCUUCGGCGGGCCGACGUCUCUGAGACGUCCGGCUGCCUCCGAGAGGAGGUGGCUGGAGCGCCCGCCAGAAGACCAAUUUUAACUCGAUUUUGGUGCCUGUCUGAAGAAAAAACACAAUAAGUUAAAACUUUCAACAACGGAUCUCUUGGUUCUCGCAUCGAUGAAGAACGCAGC